AAGACCUUACUCUUAGGGAUCAUUUCUAUAGUAAGUGUCGCCAGGACGUCAGGUAAAACUGACGGGACCCAAAACCACGAGGACGAGAAAUAGCACUCCCUUCUGAGCGCGAAGCGGGCACGGGCUGUCACCCUUUGGGAGACUUGGUCCGUGUCAUUGAUGAACGUUCCUCUCCUCCCUAAGUGGGGAGUUGGAGGAGGGGAGUGCAUUCUGAGUGGC
This is a small nucleolar RNA of Mercenaria mercenaria, 219 nucleotides long. RefSeq annotates it as small nucleolar RNA U3. The record is from RefSeq and is a predicted model, not a curated record. The transcript has a single exon. Lineage: Eukaryota; Metazoa; Mollusca; Bivalvia; Venerida; Veneridae.